RNAcentral lists this ribosomal RNA (301 nucleotides) under uncultured bacterium. Its description in RNAcentral is "partial 16S ribosomal RNA". It matches the Rfam family "Bacterial small subunit ribosomal RNA", at positions 509 to 807 of the family's 1533-position model. The record is from RNAcentral.
CAGCAGCCGCGGGAAUACGAAGGGUGCAAGCGUUACUCGGAAUUACUGGGCGUAAAGCGUGCGUAGGUGGUGGUUUAAGUCCGUUGUGAAAGCCCUGGGCUCAACCUGGGAAUUGCAGUGGAUACUGGAUCACUAGAGUGUGGUAGAGGAUAGUGGAAUUUCCGGUGUAGCAGUGAAAUGCGUAGAGAUCGGAAGGAACAUCUGUGGCGAAGGCGACUAUCUGGGCCAACACUGACACUGAGGCACGAAAGCGUGGGGAGCAAACAGGAUUAGAUACCCGAGUAGUCCCUGUCUCUUAUAC